RNAcentral lists this ribosomal RNA (430 nucleotides) under uncultured bacterium. Its description in RNAcentral is "partial 16S ribosomal RNA". It matches the Rfam family "Bacterial small subunit ribosomal RNA", at positions 29 to 507 of the family's 1533-position model. The record is from RNAcentral.
ACGAACGCUGGCGGCAGGCUUAACACAUGCAAGUCGAGCGCCCCGCACGGGGAGCGGCAGCCGGGUGAGUAACGCGUGGGCACGUACCUUUUGGUUCGGAACAACUCCGGGAAACUGGAGCUAAUACCGGAUAAGCCCUAACGGGGAAAGAUUUAUCGCCGAAAGAUCGGCCCGCGUCUGAUUAGCUAGUUGGUGAGGUAACGGCUCACCAAGGCGACGAUCAGUAGCUGGUCUGAGAGGAUGAUCAGCCACACUGGGACUGAGACACGGCCCAGACUCCUACGGGAGGCAGCAGUGGGGAAUAUUGGACAAUGGGCGCAAGCCUGAUCCAGCCAUGCCGCGUGAGUGAUGAAGGCCUUAGGGUUGUAAAGCUCUUUUGUCCGGGAAGAUAAUGACUGUACCGGAAGAAUAAGCCCCGGCUAACUUCGUG